AACCAGCACCUCAAGUGGUCAGGAUGAUUAUUGGGCCUAAAGCAUCCGUAGCCGGUUCUGUAAGUUUUCGGUUAAAUCUAUGCGCUCAACGUAUAGGCUGCCGAAAAUACUGCAGAACUAGGGAGUGGGAGAGGUAGACGGUACUCGGUAGGAAGGGGUAAAAUCCUUUGAUCUAUUGAUGACCACCUGUGGCGAAGGCGGUCUACCAGAACACGUUCGACGGUGAGGGAUGAAAGCUGGGGGAGCAAACCGG
Molecule: ribosomal RNA, 253 nt
Filed under: uncultured archaeon
Lineage: Archaea
Description: partial 16S ribosomal RNA
Rfam family: Archaeal small subunit ribosomal RNA
Source: RNAcentral